UCAAACUUGGUCAUUUAGAGGAAGUAAAAGUCGUAACAAGGUCUCCGUAGGUGAACCUGCGGAGGGAUCAUUACCGACCGCGCGCCCCCGUGGCGGGUCCCCAACCCACCGCCAUCCCACCGUCGUUCGCCCCGGCGGGCAGACGUGCCCGCCGCGUGGGCCCCACAGACCCUGAUGUCGGCGUCGUCAGAGGCACGUUUUUAACGGUCAAAACUUUCAACAACGGAUCUCUUGGUUCUGGCAUCGAUGAAGAACGCAGC
RNAcentral lists this unclassified non-coding RNA (260 nucleotides) under uncultured fungus. Its description in RNAcentral is "partial contains small subunit ribosomal RNA, internal transcribed spacer 1, and 5.8S ribosomal RNA". The stretch from base 1 to 73 matches the Rfam family "Eukaryotic small subunit ribosomal RNA", at positions 1759 to 1831 of the family's 1831-position model. The record is from RNAcentral. Lineage: Eukaryota; Fungi.